This 216-nucleotide ribosomal RNA is filed under the name Glomeromycotina sp. RNAcentral's name for it is "partial small subunit ribosomal RNA". The stretch from base 75 to 216 matches the Rfam family "Eukaryotic small subunit ribosomal RNA", at positions 721 to 864 of the family's 1831-position model. Lineage: Eukaryota; Fungi; Glomeromycota. The record is from RNAcentral.
GGGUCAGUAGGUUGGUCGUGCCACCGGUACGUACUGGUCUCACUGACUCCUCCUUCCUGAAGAACCGUAAUGCCAUUAAUUUGGUGUUGCGGGGAAACAGGACUGUUACUUUGAAAGAAUUAGAGUGUUUAAAGCAAGCUAACGCUUGAAUACAUUAGCAUGGAAUAAUGAAAUAGGACGAUCGAUCCUAUUUUGUUGGUUUCUAGGAUUGACGUA